GAUGAACGCUGGCGGCGUGCCUAAUACAUGCAAGUCGAGCGAACAGACGAGUAGCUUGCUCCUCUGACGUUAGCGGCGGACGGGUGAGUAACACGUGGAUAACCUACCUAUAAGACUGUGAUAACUUCGAGACACCGGAGCUAAUACCGGAUAAUAUAUUGAACCGCCUGGUUCAAUAGUGAAAGACGGUUUUGCUGUCACUUAUAGAUGGAUCCGCGCCGCAUUAGCUAGUUGGUAAGGUAACGGCUUACCAAGGCAACGAUGCGUAGCCGACCUGAGAGGGUGAUCGGCCACACUGGAACUGAGACACGGUCCAGACUCCUACGGGAGGCAGCAGUAGGGAAUCUUCCGCAAUGGGCGAAAGCUUGACGGAGCAACGCCGCGUGAGUGAUGAAGGUCUUCGGAUCGUAAAACUCUGUUAUUAGGGAAGAACAAAUGUGUAAGUAACUAUGCACGUCUUGACGGUACCUAAUCAGAAAGCCACGGCUAACUACGUG
RNAcentral lists this ribosomal RNA (497 nucleotides) under uncultured bacterium. RNAcentral's name for it is "partial 16S ribosomal RNA". It matches the Rfam family "Bacterial small subunit ribosomal RNA", at positions 28 to 507 of the family's 1533-position model. The record is from RNAcentral.